AUCUGGCUGGCUCAGUCGGGGAAGAGCAUGUGACUCUCGACCAUGGGGUUAUGAGUUCGAGCCCCAUGUUGGAUG
This 75-nucleotide transfer RNA is filed under the name Felis catus (domestic cat). It matches the Rfam family "tRNA". From Rfam's summary of the family: Transfer RNA (tRNA) molecules are approximately 80 nucleotides in length. The record is from Rfam by way of RNAcentral. Lineage: Eukaryota; Metazoa; Chordata; Mammalia; Carnivora; Felidae.